This 4133-nucleotide long non-coding RNA is filed under the name Nicotiana benthamiana. Its description in RNAcentral is "long non-coding RNA (NBEN_LNC009293)". The record is from RNAcentral. Lineage: Eukaryota; Viridiplantae; Streptophyta; Magnoliopsida; Solanales; Solanaceae.
AUAUCUGAGUUGUCGUGUAAGUCACUGUGUGGUGUAUCUAUACGUCAGUAUUAGAUCAACAGGGUUAGCCCUUAACCAUAAAGUUUCAUAAUCGCUGGCUGCAUUAGUAAUUCCAUGGACUAUUCUCGUGUACUUUCUGAUUGCAGGACUUUAGCUGCCUUUGGUCUUUUGGACUUCCAAAUAAUUUCUCCUAAAAUAUUCUUGCUCUACAUCCUAGUUCUGUAACUGCCUAGGUGGAAAUUCCGUUGCAUAUCAUCACCGCUAGGCAGAUCACAGCAGGUUGCUAAUGAUCUACGUCAAACUACAUUUAAAAAUGUCCUCGAGAGAAAUGUGCUUUGAAGCGAACACUACAAACCCAGCGAACACAACAAUGAUGGUCAUGCUAUUCCCAGAUUUCAUGGUCAAGGGAGCGAGCAGAAGGAAAAAGAAGGACUAGCUUAGAAGUGUUGAAAGUAUGUAUUCCGAACAGUCGACUGGGUGUAACUUUACUUACCUUCUUCAUUAGCUUUAUCAAAGACAAACUUCGCAAGCUUUGGAAUUACUUCCGUGUCUGUUUCAGACUCAAAGGUGAAACCAUGUCGGAGAAGAGUCUCUUUUAGCACCUGGAGAAUCAAAAGACCGCAAAAUGCAUAAGCGCAUAAUACAAAAGGAACAAGUGCAUAUAAAAGUGAUCAAAAGGUCUCUUUCAACACCUGGAUAAGCAAAAGACCGCAAAAUGCAUAAGCGCAAUCAUACAAAGGAACAAGUGCACAUAAAAGUGAUCAAGAAAUACCUAUAUGCAUAAGAGAACGAAAGUGACUGAGGUAUAACAUUAGCCGACGGUCAUUAGUUAUUUAAUUUUAGGACUUCGCAGUUAUAUGCAAAAAUCAAAGAAAAGAAAAAAGAAACUUUGAUGACAUACUAAAUCUAAUAAGAGAGCACUUCAAGUAACCAAAUCGACAUAUUUUUCAGAAAUGAUACCGCAUAUAUCUUUCAAGUCCAAACUCAUUUCUCAGUUAAGGUGAAAAAUAGAUGAGUCGCGACUCAUUGAAAGGAAACAUGGAGUUAUUAGAAAACAAAGUUUUCCACAAUAGACAGAAAAAAGCAGCCAGAAACAUUGUGGGCAAAUCAGCAGACCGUGAAGAAAAAUAAUUAGGUCCUGGUGGAAACAAAUGGAACACUGUAGUUAGCACACUAAUAAGUUAUAGCUGAUUAUCCUUCUGGUAAUCCUUACCACCAUCAUCCACGGACUUCUCAGGCUGUGGUUAUAUACUGCAACCACUCUAAGAAGUCCAGUUUCUUGUACAACUCCUGUAAACUAACAGCACUAAGGUCCAGGAAAGAUCAGGCAAUGCAAUACUGCAACUAUACUUCCUAAGCAGCUGUCAUCAGUUGGUUUAGUAUGGAUACUAGAGCUCCUCCGCAAUAAUUUUUUAGAUAAGGUAACAAAGUUCAUUAAAAGGGACAAAACAUGCCUGUAUACAAGGAAUAUACCUCCGCAAUAAUAAGGCUUACAUGACUAAUCUGGAUAGAUUUUCCAAAUUAAGGAAAGGUAAUUAAUGGUGUAUCAUGGCCUUCACCACCAAACCAGAGUGGGAAAAGGGGCAAUGUAAAUUAACUAAGGACCCGGGAUAAUGCCAAAGUAUAUCCACCUAGUGCAUAUUUCUCUGAGCAAUAACUGCAUGAUGCCAUGAUCUACAAGGGAUAUUCUGCGCUGGCAGAAAUUAGCAUGCUCUCUUUCCUUCCCACUAUGUUCUGUCAAUAACGAGGGAUAUCCCAUACUUGCAUGUAUCAGCAUUUUCUCUCCUACCAAAAAUUUAGGUGAUGUAGAAAGGAAAGGUAUACAAACUUCUACCAUCACCAUCCAAUAACUCGAAAUUAUCAAGAAUGGGUAGUUGCCUACUUCAUUUUUUCUGUUGUAUUUUUGUUUUUGAUAGGUAAUGCACCUUACGACUUCAUACUUUCCUUGAGUUUGGUAAUUUCAAAUGUUCAACAUGACAGUUCUAAAAUUCAACAGCAAAAAGAUUUUACAAGAAAAUGCUAACUACGUUGUGCUAGAUCAAGCUAAAAUCAGCACACAAAGAAAUUCAAGGUGAAAAUACAUUAGUCAACUUGGAUAUAGUUCCCUCUAAUUUUUACUUUUAAAAGACUCUUUCAGGAUUCAAACAGAACAACCAAAUUCUAAAAAGCAGGUUACUUACUAAGAAUAUGUGAUACAUGGCAGAAACAGUAAACCAGUUAUAACUAAUAAUCUUACAGAUGCACAAUAAGCAAAUAAUUAUUAUUUGACACACCAUUCUACCGAGUAGAAAGAGAAUAGAACCAAAAGUUAACUAUCCAGAGCAGGACUCGGCCUUAGAAAAUGAGAGUAACAAAUAAGCAACUGAAUUAAUAACUGAAUGUAAAGAAACCCAGGAGGAAAGAGUCGCAGGAACCUCGUAAUUGGUGAUAACACCAUUGUGAACAACCAAAAACUCAUUUCCAGCAUCAGAACUCUGAGGAUGACUAUUCCUAGGAGCAGGCUCCCCAUGUGUGGCCCACCGAGUGUGUGAUAUUCCAGCAUGAACAGAAAAUGAUUCUUCCAGAUUCAAAUCAGUAGCAGCAACGUCUGAGCAAGUGAACUCAAUGUUAGGGUCGCAAAAUCAUACUCAAUCACUGGGAAUGUGAGUGUGUACAGGCAGCUCAGAUAAGAAAUAUUUCAGAUAUUUCAUAAACAUGUAGCAGCAACGUCUGAGCAAUUGAACUCAAUGUUAGGGUCACAAAAUCAUACUCAAUCACCGGGAAUGUGAGUGUGUAAAGGCAGACUCAGAUAAGAAACAUUUCAGACAGUUUAUAACCACAUUUGGAUGUCAUAAAAGGACAAUUUCCUCCUAGGUGUCCUUUAUUUUUGGAUAACCAAGAAAUCCCCUAUGGGUUAGCUGGUCCGUCCCUAGUUAGCACACAGGUGCAAAACUUGGGGAGUCUUGACCCACCGCUCUGCCCUCCUCCCACUUAAACACCUAGCUCUAGUUAGAAAAUUGUGACGUGUGCCUACUGCACAUCCCGCACAUUACCUUUUUAGCAUUGAACUACAGCUCUGGGGGCUUCUACGUACAAUUAUUCUCGUAGCCAAUAAUUGAGUAAUCUUGCAGAUGCAGCACUUAGAUUUGCAACCAUCCUACUUAAGAUCAUUAUUCCCAUCGUAUAUCCAACUAGUCCACCAUCUCUCAUCAACUGUACUUCUUACUUUCAAUACCUUAUAGCACAACACAAUCACAUACUUAACCUCCCCUUCUCCUAGAAGAAUGUAUCCAUCCACCUACGGAGUUGGUCCGCCACAUUUACCAAGUGAUAUAAUUCAUUACAGUACCAACUAGAAGUGUGAAUAUUAGUUGCUGAUAACAAAUUGAACUAGAAGAAUAACAUAGUUAAACCCAUCAAGUUAAACCUUUUUUCCCUAAAUAGACUAUUUUUACAUUCCUGCUUUAGCUUUUUUUCUCAUCCCAUGCUCCUCCAAAACAUAGAAGAAGAAGCAGAAAAAAAAAACACCAGGAUCAGUGCAUGGAACAUAUAGCAAAAUUAGUGGGAUCAUGAAACUGAUCCUAACUUAGAGGUGAUAAUAUUAUUUGUCUAGCAACAAAUUGCAAUACUUAAUUACAAAUUUUAAACUCAGCAAAUUAAACCCUUUCCGUAACAAAGUAUCAUAAUACUCCUAUUCCCUUAAGAGAAAAUUAAAACAUGAAAUAAAAGAUCCAGAUCAAAGCAUAAAUUAUUAACAACAACAAACUUAAACCCAGAAAGUUAAAACCUUUAUUUAAUAAAACUAUCGUAACAUUCUCAAUUUAACUGUUUCUUCAUCCCAAACUCCUCCAGAAAUAAAAAAUAAUAAUAAUUCCAUGAAGGAAAUUUUUAAAAAAGACGCCAAAAAAAUUUAGGAGGACGCAGAUCAAUACAUGAAACAAAUCAGCUUAAACCAAAAGGACAUAGCCAGAAACCAAAAUAAUUAAGUUAUAUCUGUACCUUGGUAGACAGAUUUGACAAGAGAUUCAAUAUUGCCUUCUUGACGAAACACAAGAGGAGGGGAAGCAGAAUCAGAAGAAUCAAUGGAAAUUCCAGCUGAAUCAUACCCUCUGUAUUCUAAGCGUCUCAACCCAUUGAACAGAACUUCUAGAAUG